Rosa chinensis is the source of this 2627-nucleotide long non-coding RNA. RefSeq lists it as uncharacterized. The record is from RefSeq and is a predicted model, not a curated record. NCBI's taxonomy places the organism in Eukaryota, Viridiplantae, Streptophyta, Magnoliopsida, Rosales, Rosaceae. The transcript is spliced from 3 exons.
CAGAACCUUUUUUUUUUCCUAUCCAAUUUCACUGUGGUUGGGCCUUCUCUGGCAAGGGUUUUAUAUCUUCUUCUUCCUCUUCCUUUUCCUUCUUCCCUUCCCAAUCUGAUCCUCUCUCUCUCUCUCUUUUCAAUAUAUAAAACCCCUUGACCAGUGUGUGAGAGUUUUGCUUGAACAGAAGAGUGAGUGGGUUUAUGUGUUUCGUCUGAGUGCUUUUGCAAUUAUCAGAAGAAGAAGAAGAUGAAGUACUUGGAGAACAAGCAUCAAGAACAAAGAGCACAAAGCUCUUGUUUGGCAACACAUGCACAUGCUUCUGCUUCUCAAGAUAACAGACAUCUUUUUUUUUUUGCUUAUUUCAGAGACCAUCGACCACAUCCAAGUGGGCUCAUUCUAUGAACUAGACCAUUCGAAGCUUCCUCCAACUACCUCAGAAGAAAUGAAGUCGAUUCGGGUCGUCAUGGUGAAUGAAAAGUCUCUGUUCAAGGUUUCAGUGAGGUUUCCAAGCCUUCACUCUCUCCAAACCCAUAUGAAUGAGGAAAGCUACCAAAACCUAGAUGGCUUUCUUCCCUUCACUCUCUCUAUUUCGAUUUUCUCAUCGCCGACGAUCGUGCCAGCUGAGUAAUGUAACAACCCAACAGUAAAAACCAAUCUUUCACAUUCCAAAAUCCAGAAACUCAAAAUCCAAUCCCUACCCAAAUACUAAACCGCAGUCGGGUUUCUGGGAUUGGAACCAUGAAUUGAGGAGUAACCAUCUUCUCCUUGCUGUCAUUCCCUUCUUCAUUCACUACUACAACCACCGCAGCAUAACAAAUAAGUUGACAUAACAUUGAAAUCACUUGCAGAAAUCUCAAAACCCAUACCUCUAUUCGCAUAAAUGUCAACGGAAUCCUUAUCAGAAUCUUCGCAAAGCCUCUCCAGUAACUCCAUCUUGGAACCAGUAGCCGGAAUUCCAUGAAGAGUUGCUUGUUCGCAGAGUUACUUGAUAUUCAUGAAUUGAGGAAUUGUGGAGGUUGAUUUCUUCGACCUAUGAGAGUAGCUUUUGCUUCCGGAUUGUUUUCGAUAUGGGUUUUCUCGUUGUGGCUCUCUAUGUUGGAGGUUGGAGACGACGCUAGGUUUUGGGUUUUAGAAGUGAAGACUAAUUACAAGACUUGGAAAUUCUGAGAGAGAAAGAAGAAGCAGAAGGAAGGGAGAGGCAAUUCCGGGUUGUUCAUAUGGGUUCAUUAAACCCAGAAUUCAUCUUCUUCUUUUUCAUUUUUUUCUCCAUAAAUUAGUUAAUAAGAGAAAGAUAAUUUUGCUCUUGAUAAAAAUAUCACAUGCGUGAUACAUCAUUAUUUUAACAGAACAUUGACGGAGGUAUCACGUAUAUAUCAAAAUAAGACUUCAGGUAUUACAUUGAUAUAGUUGAGAGUUUAUGUAUUAAAUUGGCCUUGACAUUAGAGUUUGGACAUUAUUGCUGAAUUUUUCUCUACACUAACUAGGAGGCAAUUCCUCUCAACUUUGUUCGAAGGCAUCCAGAUGAUAGGCAGCGUAUAUUAAGGACCCAACAUCUUGAUGAUGGCAUAACGCAUAUGGUUUUCUCUCUAGCGGGGAAACUGAUCGAGCUUCGAUUUACCAUGGCGGAGGAGGAGACUAUCGUGCAUCUUGUUGGGGGCGAGGAGCAAUCCAAGAUCCUUUCUGCUAUGUUUGUGGCCGGAUGCUCUCUUAGAAAUAGGUAUUGCCGCCAUAGUUUUCGGCAGCGAUUUCCUGCAUUUGGGGUUUGAAGGAACGCGUUCUGAUUUGCGAAGAGGGAAAUUAAAUUUUUGUCUUCCAGUUUAAGGAGCAGGUGACGAAGGAUUACGUCCUUAACAGCGGACUGUGGUUCUUUAACAAUUCGAUGCUUCUUUUGGUGGAUUAUGACGGAAUCCGGGAUCUGGCAGAUGUUCCUCUGAAUUCUAUGGCAGUUUGGGUGGUGGUGAUGGCUAUGCACAAUGAGCAUACUCUAACCUUGCUGGGGAACACCUUGGGGCUGUUUGUAAGGUACGAUCAGGUGGUGUUGCAGAGGAAAGACCCCGUGCAACGAAUCUAGGUUGUGCAUGCUCGUCGUAGUACUCGUUCUCUGCGGAAGUGGCGGUGGAAUUGAAACUAAGGUAUGAGAAGUGCCAUGGCAUCUGUAGGGGCUGUGGUUUCUUUGUUCAUGGGAUGGGUGGCUGCGACAACCUGUUGACGACGGUGAUGGAGCUGGAAGGCACAGCUUCAGCUUUGAAGGCCUUGCUGAUGGUGGCUGACGCGGUCGAAAAUAGGCCGCCUGGCCCGUUUGAGAUGUUUCUGGCGGUUGGUCAGGGUUCGGAGGACGGUGGAGGCACUACUAGAAUUUACCCAAUUGGUGUCAAACCACUUUUGUCAACUAUUCUAAAAAUUUCGUCACCCAAAAGUAUGGGUGACGAAAAACGUUCGUCACCUAUAGGUGCGUGACCAAUUCCUUUGGGUGACGAAAUGAUCUGUUCGUCACCAAAAUAUGUUUAUGUGACGAAAUAAAUUUGUCACCCAAUCCCUCAUAUUCCGUCACUCAUUCUCUUUCAAAAUUCGAUAGAUUUCAGAAAUCAUUUUUAUAGCUUAUUGCAUGUUUUGGCAUAUAUAUAUUUCAACUG